RNAcentral lists this ribosomal RNA (242 nucleotides) under uncultured Bacteroidota bacterium. Its description in RNAcentral is "uncultured Bacteroidetes bacterium partial 16S ribosomal RNA". It matches the Rfam family "Bacterial small subunit ribosomal RNA", at positions 796 to 1041 of the family's 1533-position model. The record is from RNAcentral. Lineage: Bacteria; Pseudomonadati; Bacteroidota.
CACGCUGUAAACUAUGAUAACUCGUUGUCGGCGAUAGAAUGUCGGUGACCAAGCGAAAGCGAUAAGUUAUCCACCUGGGGAGUACGAUCGCAAGGUUGAAACUCAAAGGAAUUGACGGGGGCCCGCACAAGCGGAGGAGCAUGUGGUUUAAUUCGAUGAUACGCGAGGAACCUUACCUAGACUUGAACGUAACAGUAAUAAUGUAGAAAUAUAUUAGCUAGCAAUAGACUGUUACGAGGUGC